RNAcentral lists this long non-coding RNA (1025 nucleotides) under Homo sapiens (human). Its description in RNAcentral is "non-protein coding lnc-SUMF2-3:1". The record is from RNAcentral. Lineage: Eukaryota; Metazoa; Chordata; Mammalia; Primates; Hominidae.
CUUUACUGUGAGCUGGGUGUGCAUACGAGACUCACAAUUUCACCUGUGUACUGGGCCAUGUUAUGACACUCUAUACAAUCCAAAAGCUUUAUAAAAUAUGUGUGGGUAUUAUAGUCUUCUGUGACCUUUUUACCAGAAAAAGAUCCAGGAUAUCACUCCUGUCCCUAAACCUAGUUAUGAGAGUCCAAAUUUUCCUACUGGCUGGGUCCACAUAUGACAGUCAUUAUCAUGCCUGUGAGCUGUGCCUAGGUAUAUGUCACAAUCCCCUCUGUGGUUUUGAGACAGAAAGGACAGCCACAUCACCUAAAUGCUGGGCCAGAAAUAUUCCAAUAUUAUCCUUGUAGGCAAGGCCCUGGCAGAAAAUUCGCAUAACAUGGGUGCUAGGCCCAGCUCUGAGGCACAAUGCCUCUUGUGGGCAGUGUCCAGGCAGGAUAGGAAAUUCAUGUCACUUAAAUUAUGGGCCCAGAGAUACGUCACAAUGCCUCAUGCGAACAGGGUUCAGGUAAGAAAGUCAUAUCAUUUGGAAGCAGUGCUUAGAAAUGCUACAAUCUCCACAGGAAGCAGGGUUCAGGCAGGAGAGGAGAAUCAUGUAACCUAGAUGCUGGGUAUAAAGGUAUGCUACAAUCCCCCGCUGAGGACACUGUUAAAACAAGAGAGUCAAAUCACUAAGGAGCCUGGCCCUGGUAUAUGUCAAAAUCUCAUGUGUGUGCUAGACCUAAGAAGAGUUAUUAAAUCACUCAGGAGCUGGGCAAAGGUAUAUGUCACAAAAACACCUGUGGAAAGGCCCAGAGAUGAGAGUCACCAUUCUGAACAUGUCCUGGCUUCAGGCAUGAAUACUGGUCUCAGGUUUAUGGUGCAAUCUCACCUAGGCAAUUGGUCUAGAUAUAUGUCACAAUGGCCCUUAUGUGCAGUACUGAGGCAGGAGGGUGACCUCACAUUGGUGCUGGGCCCAGCAAUGUGUCAAAAUCUUCCCUGUGGUCAAGGCCCAGGCAAAAGUGGAGAAACAUCACCUAGGUUACAAAGCU